CAGGAAAUAGUUUAGUUUAGAAUC
RNAcentral lists this transfer RNA (24 nucleotides) under Hemibagrus nemurus (Asian redtail catfish). RNAcentral describes it as "partial tRNA-Pro". Lineage: Eukaryota; Metazoa; Chordata; Actinopteri; Siluriformes; Bagridae. The record is from RNAcentral.